Molecule: ribosomal RNA, 498 nt
Filed under: uncultured bacterium
Lineage: Bacteria
Description: partial 16S ribosomal RNA
Rfam family: Bacterial small subunit ribosomal RNA
Source: RNAcentral
GACGAACGCUGGCGGCGUGCCUAAUACAUGCAAGUCGAGCGGACGGAUGGGAGCUUGCUCCCAGACCGUCAGCGGCGGACGGGUGAGUAACACGUGGGCAACCUGCCUGUAAGACUGGGAUAACUCCGGGAAACCGGGGCUAAUACCGGAUAACUCUUUCCCUCACAUGAGGGAAAGCUGAAAGAUGGCAUCUCGCUAUCACUUACAGAUGGGCCCGCGGCGCAUUAGCUAGUUGGUGAGGUAACGGCUCACCAAGGCGACGAUGCGUAGCCGACCUGAGAGGGUGAUCGGCCACACUGGGACUGAGACACGGCCCAGACUCCUACGGUAGGCAGCAGUAGGGAAUCUUCCGCAAUGGACGAAAGUCUGACGGAGCAACGCCGCGUGAGUGAUGAAGGUUUUCGGAUCGUAAAACUCUGUUGUCAGGGAAGAACAAGUACCGGAGUAACUGCCGGUACCUUGACGGUACCUGACCAGAAAGCCACGGCUAACUACGUG